RNAcentral lists this long non-coding RNA (383 nucleotides) under Lactuca sativa (garden lettuce). RNAcentral's name for it is "long non-coding RNA (LSAT_LNC002515)". The record is from RNAcentral. Lineage: Eukaryota; Viridiplantae; Streptophyta; Magnoliopsida; Asterales; Asteraceae.
UAAGCAAUCACUUUCUGCAAAAAUGAGUCUUCUUUUAAAUACCACAAGUUUGUUCUAUGGAGCACCCAUUAGAACCAGAUCUACAUCGUUGCACUGCGAGACCCGAAUGUUUCGACCCGUUUCUUCAUCUUCAUUCUCUUCUGUUUCUGCAAUUUUGACCAAGGAACAGCAAUCAAACCUACCGGAAAACAAAAUCGAAGAAACCCAUUUGAAAUUGGCGUUUGAUUUCAAGUCUUACAUGUUGGAAAAAGCUAAUUCGGUAAAUCAAGCCCUAGAUUCCGCUGUUCCACUCAAACACCCGGAAAAGAUCCAUGAAUCUAUGCGGUACUCCCUUCUCGCCGGCGGAAAACGCGUCCGACCGAUGCUGUGUAUCGCCGCCUGNN